RNAcentral lists this ribosomal RNA (253 nucleotides) under uncultured bacterium. RNAcentral describes it as "partial 16S ribosomal RNA". It matches the Rfam family "Bacterial small subunit ribosomal RNA", at positions 524 to 776 of the family's 1533-position model. The record is from RNAcentral.
UACGUAGGGGGCGAGCGUUGUCCGGAAUCAUUGGGCGUAAAGAGCGUGUAGGCGGCCAGAAAAGUCCGCUGUGAAAACUCGAGGCUCAACUUCGAGCUGUCGGUGGAAACUUUCUGGCUAGAGUCCGGAAGAGGAGAAUGGAAUUCCUGGUGUAGCGGUGAAAUGCGCAGAUAUCAGGAAGAACACCCGUGGCGAAGGCGGUUCUCUGGGACGGUACUGACGCUGAGACGCGAAAGCGUGGGGAGCGAACAGG